Aquila chrysaetos chrysaetos is the source of this 4366-nucleotide long non-coding RNA. RefSeq lists it as uncharacterized. Lineage: Eukaryota; Metazoa; Chordata; Aves; Accipitriformes; Accipitridae. The record is from RefSeq and is a predicted model, not a curated record. The transcript is spliced from 8 exons.
CCUGGAGGUUAGAAAACCUCGUCAGCUGAGGAGUGAGGGCUCUGCCAGUGGCAGAGCCUGUGAGCUCCACUCAACGGACAAGAGCCUCUGGGCUGCCAGGGUGAUCCGAACGGGGGAGAGAUGUUUUAUGUUUGGGAAUGUCCUCGAGAUGUACAAGGCCCCAUCUGACUGCGGGCAAGCAGACCAAGCCACAGACCAAAACCACUGCUUUGCUUUCACUGCUUAAAGGUGCCUUGGAAAGAGGGUUGCUGACCUUUUUUAGCUUUUUCGUUUUAGAUCAGGGCUGUCUGGUAAGUACUUUGCCCUACUUUUUUGAUUAAAAAUAAUCUGCUUGGGGUUUUUUUUCAUUAGUUAUUUGGGUCUUGUCUUGCCAGAAGACUAUGAGUUGAAAAGUGUUGUUAGUGUGACCUCCCACUCGGGCAUCAAUUUCCUGGAGGGAUUCUCCCAUUUAACAUGACCACAAACAGCUUUUUAGAUGGUUUCAAACUCUUAGGCCUCGGCUUGCUCUUGGGAAAAGUAUUUCACAGCAAUAAGUAGGUAACAUUUUGAACACCCUAAGUUUUUGUUAGAGAUGUAAAAGAUGGCUGGUUCACGAUGAACAAUUCAGUGGUCUUCCCCAAAAAUGAAACUUAAGACUUUUUUUUUUCUAAUUAUUCCUAAGGUAUAAGAUAGAAGGGGCAAGUCCAUUUACUUCCUCAACUGAAAGCCCUGAAAUAAACCCUUAGUGAUGAAACAGGAGGAAGAUGAGUGCCUGACAGGGCAGGGAUGGAGGGGCUGUGCCUGUACCUCUCCAGGGCAGACAGCCUGGGUGUCUCCACCAGGAUCUCUUUGCUGCUCCGCACCCCAUCAGAGCCCUGAAACCAAACCAGGAGGAUUUAAUGAUGGGAGGACACCAUGCGUGCUGCCUGGCUCCCAGCUACUGAAGCAACACUGGGGCUACAAGCGCAGGGCUCUGACCCAGAGGCGUUGCCUUCCUCACUGGGACCCUACACGUUCCCCUCCUACCAGCUGGACUGCCCUGCUCUUCAGAUGCUGCACAUACCUCUCUUCUACAAAGCCUGCUAUGCUCUUAGAAGUCUCUUGUUCCAAGACAAGAUCCGCUGAGGCAGAGAAACCAUUCAGUCCUAAUGCUGAAUCACUCAUUUCCUGUAACGGCUCUAGCAGAGGGGUGAGGUGAAGAAUUGUGAUGAUCAAAGCGGCAGCUUGAAAAAGACUAAGCAGCCUGGGACUGCAAUGAUCUCAAACCAAAGGUGCAGAUGGCUUUGGGCAAGUGAAGCAGGAGGUGUCUCACCUCCAUCUCCCAGACCUGGGUCUGCAGCUGAAGGCACCUAAUUUCCAGUUCCUCUGCUGUGGAUGAGUCAGGAGCAUCUGAAAGGGAAGACUUUGGUUUUGUACGUACAGCCUUAAAGAAGAGCUAUAGAUAACCCGUGUCACACAUCGCAAAUGCCCCAGCAGUACCUGCCUGUACCGUAAGUGAACUCAAGCCCAUAUGACACAGGAGCUGAACAUGAGCUCUGCAUGCUGGUCCCUGACAAUUCAACCUGCAGCAGUUCGAUAAAGAUACUGACAGACUAAAGAUAGUUGUGAAUGAUACUGGUGAAGUUUUAUGCUGCAGAAAGCUGAUGUGAGUGGUGCUGUUUGCAAUUAUACAAUGAGAAUUGCUUGACUUACUCAGUCUUAAGGGACCUAUUAAAAAAAUGAGCAAGUGUCCGCUAAAGCUGUUCUAGACUAAAUGGCUAGAACAAUGCACCAUGAGGUACAAAACAUAUGUUUGUGGUUUGACAGGCAUAUUCUUGUUCUCUGCUCAGGAAAUGGAGAAUUUACCACAGCUUUAUACUAACAAGGUAGUUCAGCCGAUGUAGGAAAUGUGUCUGUGCUCAGAUGGAGAGCUGCUGGAUUCCAAGUAACUGAAUGGGGGGAAAGAUCUUCUGUGACUCACUCAAAGCUGGGUUCAAUUUAGAGUUAGGCUGCCUUACAGGACAAGUGAGCCUGGACCUGUAAUACUGUUUGAGACUGCAGGUAGAUUUUUGGUUUCACUUAGUAGCUCUGUUUUUCCAGCCUGUUUGAACUCUGCGGUAUUUACUGUUCUUUUUUUCUAACCAUCUAACCAUCCUCGUGUAUCUGUGUGGUUGGUCUAUACUCGUGGAAACGUAGUAACCCGUAGAAAAUAGGUCAGGAAAUAAUGUUUUCUACAACACCAGAAAAGCCGAGUAACAGAUGCACGUACAAAGCGUGGAUCUGCUUUGACAAACGGUACCACGUGUGUCUAACUGAUACCACUCACCAAAGAGGCUCUUGGGCUUUUAAGGCAAGGAUGGCUCAGAGAGGAGGUCUCCAAGCCUGCUCUGUUGCCAUAGCAGGAGCUCUGUAGCUCUCCCACAGGUAGGAGCAUGGUGUCAAGGGUAGAAUAAUUUUUACCUUCUCCUUUCUGAAUAGCCUUCAUCUUCUCUUCAAGUUCAGCAAUCCUCCUGUCCUUCAGGACCAGAACAAAUAAUGACCUCAUUUAGUUCCUUGGCCUUCAGGACCUUGAGGCACAGUUUGCACAAUUAGUCCUGGCUAGGUGAGUCAGUGGUGCACAUACUCUCACCCCACUUAGAGACAGGCAAAAUAAGGGUCAGAAAGGCUGUAUCACCUCACAGAUAUCUUAGACUCAAAUGAGGGCUGGGAUAUAAAUACACUGCUCCAAGAAUAGGUGAGGGACACACUGACCUAUCUCCCCCUCCUCUAUCUGCCCAAGAGCUGUAGGCAAAUGCACAGACUCCUGCCCCUGUGCUUCCUGCUCAGGCACAGCUCAUGCUCUGACCUGCAUGCACUAAGUGGCUGAUCUAGAAAUGCAACCAGCAUUUCUGCAGGCACCUCUUUAAAAAAAAAAAAGGGGGGGGGGGUGUAGUAGUUAUUCUAAGCUGCAGUCAUGCAAAGAGGUCUGCUCCAGGAUGACUCUGCUGUAUGAGCAGCUGUUGUUUCAGAAAGCAAAAGGAAGAAAAGAAAUGUUUGAAGCCAAACAGCUAAUGAUAUCAGUGAAAGGGUGCUGAGAGUCUUUACUUUAAGAAGUCACAGUAGGGGCUGUCCACUCUCCCACCCCAAGGACUGAUAAAAUUGCUCUGUUGCUUUGCGAAGGCUUGUUUGUGUAAUUAACAAAGCAGGCUAUAGAUUAACUUGUUUUAGCCCAAACUAGGUCUAAGCAGGUGUAACACUACUGUGGCUUCAACUGUCAAAGCAGAGCACAGAACAGGUUCAGUAAGGGGCAGGAUUUUUACCUUCAGUCGGAUUUCUUGUGCUUGUUCCUCUAUUUUUUGUUCCAACAGAGUGACUUUUUGCAUCAUGGAGGACAUGAGCUCCAUGUCAGUGUGAGCUGCGCCUGAAAGCACAAAUACGUAUUACCUCUCUAAAAUGGCAAUUGGUAUUGGAGGCUCGUCUGCGCCAUAGUGGACCCCGCACAAGAAUUCCUGUUCUGCCACAGCAGUGUUGUCCCCCUUGAGCAGGAGGGGAGACUGCCUUGCACUGGAUUCUUUGUCCUAGGAGACAGGCUGUCAUCUUCUGAGAAGAGGCACGAAGAGCAUGAAAGAAAGAAAACAGGUCAGCAUUUUGGAUAAGGCUUCUCCAAAAGCAGCUGCAGAAAGCAACUCUCCUCCGCUUGAAACUGAGGAAACGCAAACGUGAUACGAACCUGUGCGAGACGUGACUGACCAAUAGCCCUGGUACCUGCUGGGGACCGAUGUCGGCCAGGAGACAGCAGCAUUGGCAGUGAACGCAGCUUCCCCAAAUCGCUCUUUCAGCGGUGGGGCUGGUGCAGGGAAGGAAAGUGUGAUUGGUGAGACAGGGUCGUUGCUGCACUUAAAGCCUCCAACUGCAAUCACUGCGAGCAGAUGAGGAAGUGUCACAGCACACCGUGAGUCGAGCCCUGACCAUGCAGCGCACCUGUGGGCUCCUACUGCUCGCCCUGCUUGUCCUCUGCAUGCCCCUUGGCCAGGCGGACAAGGUGGAUGCGGUCACGGCUAUCACCUCCACCGCUCCACGCCCCGCCGCAAGCAACGUGAGCCCCCUCCGCAGCAGCCCACCCCUCCUCUCCCUCACCCUGGCGCUGCUGGCUGUGGCUUUCUUCUUGCGGCUGCGCUGACCCAGAGGGGGGCUACCGUGCACCCCCACCCCAAAGAUGACACCCCCAGGAUGGCAUCCCCUGCACCGGCACCUCCUCGGACCCUCGCAGGACGGAGGAGCGGCCAGCGUGCCGCCAUCGCUUCCUUCCCUGCCUCCCUCUGCUCCGUUCUCCCGUUCCCCUCCGGCCUCUAAAUGAAACCCCAAAGCUUUCCCAGCUCGGAAGCCGGCCUGCUGCGAGGUUCUGAGAAAUAAAAGCGACUGGCGUAGA